AAUCAACGCUGGCGGCGUGCCUCAGACAUGCAAGUCGAACGCGAAAGUCCCCUUCGGGGGACAAGUAGAGUGGCGCACGGGUGAGUAACACGUAGGUAAUCUACCUUCGGGUGGGGAAUAACAACCGGAAACGGUUGCUAAUACCGCAUAAUGCAGCGGCACCUAAUGGUGACAGUUGUUAAAGCGGGGGAUCGAAAGACCUCGCGCCUGAAGAGGAGCCUGCGGCGGAUUAGCUAGUUGGUAGGGUAAUGGCCUACCAAGGCGACGAUCCGUAGCCGGCCUGAGAGGGCGGUCGGCCACACUGACACUGACAUACGGGUCAGACUCCUACGGGAGGCAGCAGUCGGGAAUUUUGGGCAAUGGGCGAAAGCCUAACCCAGCAACGCCGCGUGAAGGAUGAAAUCCCUCGGGAUGUAAACUUCGCAAGAACGGGAAGAAUAAGCCUGUGUGAAUAUCGCAGGUGAUGACGGUACCGUUUGUAAGCUCCGGCUAACUCCGUGC
RNAcentral lists this ribosomal RNA (501 nucleotides) under uncultured bacterium. Its description in RNAcentral is "bacterial SSU rRNA". It matches the Rfam family "Bacterial small subunit ribosomal RNA", at positions 32 to 508 of the family's 1533-position model. The record is from RNAcentral.